CCACUGUCUUAAGAGGACUCUCCAUGAAAUUGAAAUCGUAGUGAAGAUGCUACGUCCAUAUUGUAAGACGAAAAGACCCCAUUGAGCUUUACUAAAGACUUGUAUGGCUCGAAAUAACUUAAAUAAAAAGUUUAGAUAAUGUGGGAUCCGUUUUGGUUAAUGAAACACCACUCUUUUAUUUUAAGAGAGCUAACCUUGUAGGGAGAAUGCAAGUUGGAUAGUUUGGUUGGGGCGACCACCUUUUAAAAGGUAACGAAGGUGAGCUUAAGGUCCGUAGUUAAUAGCUAGUGGCCUGACUGCAAGGGGGACAUCCCGAGCAGACACUGGUAAUCUCUCAGUGGGUUAUAGUGACCCGUCAUCUUAGAGUGGAAUAGUUGACGAUC
RNAcentral lists this ribosomal RNA (383 nucleotides) under Metridium senile (brown sea anemone). Its description in RNAcentral is "partial large subunit ribosomal RNA". It matches the Rfam family "Bacterial large subunit ribosomal RNA", at positions 2013 to 2450 of the family's 2925-position model. Lineage: Eukaryota; Metazoa; Cnidaria; Anthozoa; Actiniaria; Metridiidae. The record is from RNAcentral.